UGAGACUGCCGGUGACAAACCGGAGGAAGUGGGGAUGACGUCAAGUCCUCAUGGCCCUUAUGGGUAGGGCUUCACACGUCAUACAAUGGUCGGUACAGAGGGUUGCCAAGCCGCGAGGCGGAGCCAAUCCCACAAAGCCGAUCGUAGUCCGGAUUGUUCUCUGCAACUCGAGAGCAUGAAGUCGGAAUCGCUAGUAAUCGCAGGUCAGCAUACUGCGGUGAAUACGUUCCCGGGUCUU
This 238-nucleotide ribosomal RNA is filed under the name uncultured Thiobacillus sp. Its description in RNAcentral is "partial 16S ribosomal RNA". It matches the Rfam family "Bacterial small subunit ribosomal RNA", at positions 1144 to 1382 of the family's 1533-position model. The record is from RNAcentral. Lineage: Bacteria; Pseudomonadati; Pseudomonadota; Betaproteobacteria; Nitrosomonadales; Thiobacillaceae.